AGAAGAUCACACUUGCUCCUCCAGCUCUUGCACCCUAGCACUAGUAAUGGUCAAAUUAUUUUUAAAGGCUACAGCUUUGGUGAUUGCCUUUGAUAUCUCCCACCUAAGAAAGUUCACCUUUUCUUUCACCAUAUGUUGGGUGGCAACUACCUCCAAACUCAAGCUCAUGGAUUGAUUGAGGAGAUCGUUAAUACUCUCUGGACCCAUCCAAGCUUGAUUUUUUGGAAGGCAUAGGGUUGCAGUAGUAACCCUAGCUAGGUCAAUGUUGCCUUUCAGAGAUUGGUUCCUCUCCAAAGACUGGGAAAG
RNAcentral lists this unclassified non-coding RNA (306 nucleotides) under Hevea brasiliensis (rubber tree). The record is from RNAcentral. Lineage: Eukaryota; Viridiplantae; Streptophyta; Magnoliopsida; Malpighiales; Euphorbiaceae.